GAUGGGCUCCAACAUACAUGGGACAAGCAGUAUAAAUGUAAAGAUGAAUGUAUGUAUGGAUGGAAAAGAAUGGAUGAAAGGAUACAAGAAAGAAAGAAAGAAAGAGUGGAAGAAAGAAAUAUAAAAGGACAAAAGAAUGGGGGAAAAAAACAAAAGAAAAUACUUAAGAAAGGUUGAAAGAGAAAUAUAGGAGGAAAGAAGGCAUUAUCAAAAGAAGGAAAGUAGGCAGGAAAGAAAUAAUCUGUCUGCAGUCGUAUGGGGCUGAUCUGAGUAGCCAUCAAAUCCACUGGUGAAGCACUAAGGUUAAGACAACCUUCUUCUAAAGCUCGGCCUGUGUCCUUGGUGGUCAGAGCACAUCUGCAGUGUGCACCUGUCCCCACUUAAGCAACAGGAGCUGACUUUAUGGCGUGCAAGGAAAUCUGAUCUGGAAAACAAGGUGAGGCUGUCAGAUGUAAGGGUGCAGCCUGUCCUCAGUAAAUACAGUCCUGUUGAUUCAGCUUUCACAACUCAUCUCACAGCAGCGGAGAGCCACUCACACAAAGCCUGGUCUGAACUGAGACUUUCAACAUAUCAUUCCUCUUUCACAUCAAGAAAAACUUACAAGGAUCUGACGUCUGAUUCUUCAGCCCAGGUGAUUUACAAGCCCCAUCUCCACGUACAAAAGCCAUCAAGAACCACCUCCCCCCACCAAACACCCAGCUGUCCAGCUCAUGUCAUAAAACACCAGAACACCUGCAUGAAAGACUGGUGCCAGAGGUAGAAAGGGGACAGGUGGGAAACCACUUGACAAUAUAUGUGAUCACAUGGGACAAUGUGGCAUUCCACCAUUUCCAUGCAGUCACAGCCUCGUUUGAUGCACAUCCAAGGAAGAUGUCCCUUUUCUUUGCCCCUUACUCCCCUUUCCUCAACCCCAUUGAGGAGUUUUUCUCAGCCUGGAGAUGGAAGAAUUUUGACCAUCGUCCACAGGACCAAAUGUCCUUCCUGAAUGCAAUGGAUUCUGCAUGCCAAGACAUCACAGCUGAAAACUGCAGGGGUGAAUAAGGCAUGCCAAAAGAUUCUUCCCAAGAUGCCUUGCCAGAGAAGAUAUCAGGUGUGAAGUGGAUGAGAACAUGUGGCCAAAUGCAGAAGACCGGGCAGAAUAGAAGAUUAUUUUAUUUUUAUUUAUUUUUCCCCUAUGGCUUAUAUGAUUUAUAUAUAUACACACACACACACACAUAUAUAUAUAUAUAUAUAUAUAUAUAUAGAUGGCAGCUGUAUUACAUAUUUUUGUUAUCUUGCAGUAAUGUCUUAUAAAUAAAGGAUUUACUGCAUUAAUUCUGACUCUGUUGUCUUCUUUCUUCUUCUUUUUUUUCAUAAUCCAU
Cyprinus carpio (common carp) is the source of this 1361-nucleotide long non-coding RNA. RefSeq lists it as uncharacterized. The record is from RefSeq and is a predicted model, not a curated record. The transcript is spliced from 3 exons. NCBI's taxonomy places the organism in Eukaryota, Metazoa, Chordata, Actinopteri, Cypriniformes, Cyprinidae.